Long non-coding RNA from Musa acuminata AAA Group (dessert banana), 262 nucleotides. RefSeq lists it as uncharacterized. Lineage: Eukaryota; Viridiplantae; Streptophyta; Magnoliopsida; Zingiberales; Musaceae. The transcript is spliced from 3 exons. The record is from RefSeq and is a predicted model, not a curated record.
CAGUGGAUGAUCCAAAGGUUUAUUCGAGAAGGAGAACUUGCAAAUCCACUCUACUAAAUCUCGAACACCAAGAUAAUUGUAUGUUGGGAUUUCCUUCGAGAGAUCACUCAUUCUUGCUCCUAAAUCCUAAAGAUGCAGACAGCCAUAGUAAAUCCCUGCUCCAGCAAGUUCUAGAGCUUUACUUGGAAGAACUUCCUACCAUGAACUAUGCUGCAAAUACUGGAAAGAAAUCCCAAUUUCUUGAAAAAUGUACAACGAGUGG